This 700-nucleotide ribosomal RNA is filed under the name uncultured bacterium. RNAcentral describes it as "bacterial SSU rRNA". It matches the Rfam family "Bacterial small subunit ribosomal RNA", at positions 56 to 764 of the family's 1533-position model. The record is from RNAcentral.
UGCAAGUCGAGCGGAGGUGCCUGAAGAGCAAUCGGAGGGUGUCUGAGCGGCGGACGGGUGAGUAACGCGUGAGCGAUCUGCCUUUCACAGGGGGAUAACGCAGCGAAAGCUGCACUAAUACCGCAUGAGACCACGGUACUGAUGGUACAGGGGUCAAAGGAGAGAUCCGGUGAGAGAUGAGCUCGCGUCCGAUUAGGUAGUUGGUGAGGUAACGGCCCACCAAGCCAAUGAUCGGUAGCCGGCCUGAGAGGGUGAACGGCCACAUUGGAACUGAGAGACGGUCCAAACUCCUACGGGAGGCAGCAGUGGGGAAUAUUGGGCAAUGGGGGAAACCCUGACCCAGCAACGCCGCGUGAGGGAAGAAGGUUUUCGGAUUGUAAACCUCUGUUCUUGGAGAAGAGGAGAAGACGGUAUGCAAGGAGGAAGCCCCGGCUAACUACGUGCCAGCAGCCGCGGUAAUACGUAGGGGGCGAGCGUUGUCCGGAAUGAUUGGGCGUAAAGGGCGCGUAGGCGGCCAGGCAAGUCGGUAGUGGAAGUCCAAUUUUCAAGGUUGGAAGUGCUAUUGAAACUGCAGGGCUUGAGUGCAGGAGAGGUUAUCGGAAUUCCCGGUGUAGCGGUGAAAUGCGUAGAGAUCGGGAGGAACACCAGUGGCGAAGGCGGGUAACUGGACUGCAACUGACGCUGAGGCGCGAAAGUGUGG